GUGUUGUUCGUGUAGUGGCAAGCAAAGCUGCCUUCCAAGCAGUUGACCUGGGUUCGAUUCCCGGCCGACGCA
Molecule: transfer RNA, 72 nt
Filed under: Acropora cervicornis
Lineage: Eukaryota; Metazoa; Cnidaria; Anthozoa; Scleractinia; Acroporidae
Description: tRNA-Gly
Rfam family: tRNA
About the family: Transfer RNA (tRNA) molecules are approximately 80 nucleotides in length. Their secondary structure includes four short double-helical elements and three loops (D, anti-codon, and T loops).
Source: RNAcentral